GGGCGGCGAGUCUCUGCCGGAUGGAUCCGGACGGCUCCCGUCCGUUCACCGGUGGCCGGUUCGACGCCGACGCCGAUCUC
RNAcentral lists this transfer RNA (80 nucleotides) under Streptomyces gelaticus. Its description in RNAcentral is "tRNA-Gly". Lineage: Bacteria; Bacillati; Actinomycetota; Actinomycetes; Kitasatosporales; Streptomycetaceae. The record is from RNAcentral.